RNAcentral lists this ribosomal RNA (520 nucleotides) under uncultured Gigaspora. RNAcentral's name for it is "SSU rRNA". It matches the Rfam family "Eukaryotic small subunit ribosomal RNA", at positions 569 to 1094 of the family's 1831-position model. The record is from RNAcentral. Lineage: Eukaryota; Fungi; Glomeromycota; Glomeromycetes; Diversisporales; Gigasporaceae.
AGCAGCCGCGGUAAUUCCAGCUCCAAUAGCGUAUAUUAAAGUUGUUGCAGUUAAAAAGCUCGUAGUUGAAUUUCGGAGUUCUACCGUUGGUCGGGCAAUAGUCUGUACUGGCGUGUAGAAUUUCUACCUUCUGGGGAACCAUCAUGUUAUUUAUUUAGCGUGGUGGGAAACCAGGACCUUUACCUUGAAAAAAUUAGAGUGUUCAAAGCAGGCUUACGUCUGAAUACAUUAGCAUGGAAUAAUAAAAUAGGACGGUGGUCCUGUUUUGUUGGUUUCUGAAUCACCGUAAUGAUUAAUAGGGAUAGUUGGGGGCAUUAGUAUUCAAUUGUCAGAGGUGAAAUUCUUGGAUUUAUUGAAGACUAACUUCUGCGAAAGCAUUUGCCAAGGAUGUUUUCAUUAAUCAAGAACGAAAGUUAGGGGAUCGAAGACGAUCAGAUACCGUCGUAGUCUUAACCAUAAACUAUGCCGACUAGGGAUCGGACGAUGUUAAUUUUUCUUGACUCGUUCGGCGCCUUACGGG